This 560-nucleotide ribosomal RNA is filed under the name Penicillium sp. Its description in RNAcentral is "partial large subunit ribosomal RNA". It matches the Rfam family "Eukaryotic large subunit ribosomal RNA", at positions 48 to 626 of the family's 3401-position model. Lineage: Eukaryota; Fungi; Ascomycota; Eurotiomycetes; Eurotiales; Aspergillaceae. The record is from RNAcentral.
AAGCGGAGGAAAAGAAACCAACAGGGAUUGCCCCAGUAACGGCGAGUGAAGCGGCAAGAGCUCAAAUUUGAAAGCUGGCUCCUUCGGGGUCCGCAUUGUAAUUUGCAGAGGAUGCUUCGGGAGCGGUCCCCAUCUAAGUGCCCUGGAACGGGACGUCAUAGAGGGUGAGAAUCCCGUAUGGGAUGGGGUGUCCGCGCCCGUGUGAAGCUCCUUCGACGAGUCGAGUUGUUUGGGAAUGCAGCUCUAAAUGGGUGGUAAAUUUCAUCUAAAGCUAAAUAUUGGCCGGAGACCGAUAGCGCACAAGUAGAGUGAUCGAAAGAUGAAAAGCACUUUGAAAAGAGAGUUAAAAAGCACGUGAAAUUGUUGAAAGGGAAGCGCUUGCGACCAGACUCGCUCGCGGGGUUCAGCCGGCAUUCGUGCCGGUGUAUUUCCCCGCGGGCGGGCCAGCGUCGGUUUGGGCGGUCGGUCAAAGGCCCUCGGAAGGUAACGCCCCUAGGGGCGUCUAUAGCCGAGGGUGCAAUGCGACCUGCCUAGACCGAGGAACGCGCUCGGCUCGACGC